UCAGUGACACUGGAGCAGAUUAUCCAGAAUCCAACGUGCUGACUAUAGUGUCCACCGUAUCUUCUCUGCUAGAGGCCGGGAUUUUAUACAUCAUCUACAAGUCCAUGGAGAUCAAGGCCCUGAAGAGAAGCCUUUGUGGAAUCACCUACCAAACAUGGCUGCUGACAUUCGGGUGGAUGACCUGUAUUGGAAACAUCAUAACCUCAUUGAUACAGGUUUGUUUAUACAGAUUCUGUGGUGUUAGGGCCCCUUAGCUGGUCACCUAUGAAGCCCCCUUACCCAGGAGAAGAGCAGCACAGCUGGGGCCAUGUAUUGUCAGAUAACCUGCUGAUCUGUAGGUCUUGGGACAGAAUGGGCCUGAGCUCACACCCCCUCACAAUGAUACAUAAGGCCCAGUAUAAGAAUACAGAUAAUAUAAUAACACCAUUGGCAGAUGUAGGAUUAUCCUGUAUACUUACCAUUGGCAGAUAUUAAGUAUCCAGGACAAUCAUAUAUCUGCUAAUGGUGUAUAAUGAUAUGGAGUUAUAUGUGUUGUCUGAUGAUAGGUCAUCUAGGACAGGAUAUGUAUAUUGUGAAAUGUCAUAUUUUCUUUGUUUUCCUCUAGGAUUCAGCAAUGCUCAAUAACAGCUGCCUGGCGGUUUUAUCCAGUACCAUCAUCUACGGUGGUUUAUCUGUGGCAUCUCAGCUGUAUCCAGGCUCCAGGGACCGGAGAUGUAGGCGCCUUACCACCACGGUGCUGUCGGUGACCAUCUUGCUGGCAAACAUUAGCCGGUUAUCCUGUAAAAUGAUGGCAUUAUACACCUGUACAAGCGAGUUCUGCACACAGUCUUCCAGAAUUAUGCUGACCAUCCUGGAGUGGGUUGUAUUGGUCUGCUCAUGUAUAAGCCAGAUACUGCUGUAUUGGGACUUCCCGGUCAGUAUAUGAAAUCCAGAUUUACAAAUAAAAAUACACAGCACUCCCAAAACUGUGAAAAAUCAACAUGAAUACAUUUAAUGCAUAAGACCUGCUGUGGAGGGUGAGGGAGCAGGCCCUCCAGCGGGGUCCCUGGUGGCUGGAGCAGCAGCUGUCCUCUCUUUUCCCUCCUGCUGCGCUCCAGUGGGGGGAGCCCGGGCUCCGGUCCAGCGGCCGGCGCUCUCACCGGAGUUCUCCCCAUGCUCCCGGCGUUGGCGGGUGAGUCCCUCUGGAUCUCCACAGUAGUGGUGGCCUCGGGAAGGGGAGGCGAUGUGCACCUGGCGGACGCGGCGAGAGGCGAGGUAUACAUCUGCCCUUUGGGGGCACACCUCAAGGCUGAGGUCCAGGAAAAGAUUUGGAAGAGGGAGUACGUGGAUAUUUUUUCCCUACUGCCUCUUGAGAAAUUUAAUUUGGACAAGGUCUGGCUAGACGAGGGUAAGCGGAUGGAGAAGGUAGAGGAGGAGGAACGUCGGCGGUAUCAGCUGAUUCCGCGGACCUUCUCAAAUUGGUUGCAGGCAUUCGCCAUCUUGGUCAGUGUGGUGGGGGAGAAAUCACUGGAGCACUGCUCCGGUCUGUUCUGCUAUAUGGAUGCUGUGUGGGAGGCGUACCGGGUUUAUGGGGGGACGGCGUGGCUGUGAUACGACAAACUAUUUCGGCAGCGGAUGGCGGUGCGUCCCUCACUGCGCUGGGAUCAUAAGAACAUAGGGCCGUGGAUGCGGCUUAUGGUGGCUCCUCAGGAUGGGGAGGGCUUGCAGUCCUUUCGUGAUAGUGCCGGCAAUUUCGGGGUCGGAGAAGGACGGUCGGCGGGGCGUGGAGUCUGCUUCAAGCAAGCAUUGUCCCGCUGUUUCCAUAAGGGGAAGGGUAGGGCUGUAGAUUUUGAGCAGAAGAGGGAUGAUGCCGGUUCAGGUGGAAAGGAUGAAGCCUUUCCUCGCCCUGUACCCAAAUAGGGCAGUGGCGGAAGUGUUGCAGCUUGGUUUUUCGGAAGGCUUUCGUAUUCUGUGUUCGGAGGUGGUGCCGGCGGUCAUGGAGGAGAAGUUGCUUAAAGAGGUGCGGUUGGGCAGGAUGGCUGGGCUGUUUGAUCUCUCCUUUGGGGCUGGUGCCCAAGAAGGAGCCCAAUAAGUUUAGCCUUAUUCACCACCUCUCGCAUUCGGCGGGGGGGCGGGGGUGGUCGGUGAAUGAUGGUAUUGAUCCGUCCCUCUGUGCUGUGUCAUAUACCUCUUUUGAUGCGGCCUUGGUGUGGGUACGGUGUUACGGGCGGGGGGCUCUUUUGGAGAAAACGGAUGUUGAGGCGGCUUUCCGUUUGUUGCCAGUACAUCUGGACAGUUUUUCUUUGUUGGGUUGUUGCUUGGGGAAUCGUUUUUUUGUGGACCUUUGUCUGCCUAUGGGGUGCUCCAUUUCGUGCGCAUAUAUUUGAAUAGUUCAGUACCUUCUUGGAAUGGGAGUCUCAGGUGGACUCUGUUUUGCACUACCUGGACGACUUUCUGUUUUUGGGCCCGGUGGGGUCCCGGGGCUGUGCUGUGUUGCUACAAGUGAUGGAGCAGGUGUCGCGUUGGUUUGGCGUGCCGUUGGCACCGGAAAAGACAGAGUGGCCGGCCACGACAGUUCCAUUUUUGGGUAUCGUGAUCGAUACCCUGGCUAUGGAGUGACGGCUGCCAGAGGAGAAGUUGGGUGAGCUGAGGAAGGCGGUGGCAUGUGCGUGUCAGGCGCACAAGUUGCAGUUACGGGAAGUUCAGUCUCUGCUGGGCCGUCUCAAUUUUGCUUGUCGGAUCAUGCCUAUGGGGAGGGUUUUUUUUGCCACCGCUGGGCCUCAGCUACUGCGGGUGUUGUCAGGCGGGGUUGCGUGCCGAUUUGGGCGUCUGGCUAAAAUUUCUGGCCCGCUAUAACGGGCGGUCAGUGGCGAUGGACCGACCAGUCUCAAUUAGUCACCUGGAGCUGUUCACUGACGCUGUGGGUGGUUGUGGGGCGUAUUUGCAGGGUCAGUGGCCGACGGCGUGGCGGGAGAAGGGUCUUACUCGGAAUUUUGCCCUGCUGGAGCUUUUUCCGAUUGUAGUGGCCGUGGAGGUGUGGGGGCUCUGUUCUGCGAUCGGAAAAUUUGUUUCCAUUGCGACAACAUGGAGGUAGUUCAGGCUAUUAACAGUUAGACGGCGAGCUCGCCGUCGGUGGUUAGUUUGUUUCGCCAUUUAGAGCUUCGGAGUUUGGAGCUUAAUUGACACCUGGUCGCCUUACAUGUGCCUGGGGUUGCUAACCCCCUCAUCUCGGUUGCAGUGGGACUGGUUUCGAGAGCUGGCGCCAGAGGCCGAGGAAUG
Hyla sarda is the source of this 3258-nucleotide long non-coding RNA. RefSeq lists it as uncharacterized. The transcript is spliced from 4 exons. Lineage: Eukaryota; Metazoa; Chordata; Amphibia; Anura; Hylidae. The record is from RefSeq and is a predicted model, not a curated record.